AUUCCUUUAGUAUUAACAAGUACAGUUGACUUCCAAUCAACCAGUUUCGGAUAAGGCCCGAAAAGGAAUA
This 70-nucleotide transfer RNA is filed under the name Lynx rufus (bobcat). Its description in RNAcentral is "tRNA-Gly". Lineage: Eukaryota; Metazoa; Chordata; Mammalia; Carnivora; Felidae. The record is from RNAcentral.